AAGUUAUCGUUUAUUUGAUAGCACCUUACUACUUGGAUAACCGUGGUAAUUCUAGAGCUAAUACAUGCUAAAAAUCCCGACUUCGGAAGGGAUGUAUUUAUUAGAUUAAAAACCAAUGCCCUCUGGGCUCUCUGGUGAUUCAUGAUAACUUCUCGAAUCGCAUGGCCUUGCGCCGGCGAUGGUUCAUUCAAAUUUCUUCCCUAUCAACUUUCGAUGUUUGGGUAGUGGCCAAACAUGGUUGCAACGGGUAACGGAGGGUUAGGGCUCGACCCCGGAGAAGGAGCCUGAGAAACGGCUACUACAUCCAAGGAAGGCAGCAGGCGCGCAAAUUACCCAAUCCCGACACGGGGAGGUAGUGACAAUAAAUAGGUGAUACAGGGCUCUUUUGGGUCUUGUAAUUGGAAUGAGUAC
Molecule: ribosomal RNA, 411 nt
Filed under: Purpureocillium sp.
Lineage: Eukaryota; Fungi; Ascomycota; Sordariomycetes; Hypocreales; Ophiocordycipitaceae
Description: SSU rRNA
Rfam family: Eukaryotic small subunit ribosomal RNA
Source: RNAcentral